This is a long non-coding RNA of Mesocricetus auratus (golden hamster), 1287 nucleotides long. RefSeq lists it as uncharacterized. The record is from RefSeq and is a predicted model, not a curated record. NCBI's taxonomy places the organism in Eukaryota, Metazoa, Chordata, Mammalia, Rodentia, Cricetidae. The transcript has 4 exons.
UGAAUGGACAAGGGGAGGCAUAGAUGUUGAUGGGCUGGAGGUUGAGAGGAAUCCAAGCCACAGUUCUGUUCUCCUUUCAUCGCGUCAAGCAUUGUGGGAGAGAGUUGCCUCUGAUGAAGAAGGUACAACAGUCACAGCAGGGAGUGAAACAGCGGAACAUAUUCAUGGAAAAAUUACCCAGUGCAUCAGGUUCAGGACGGUGCACACUUUGUUUGGAACCAUCUUCGUCAACCCAACACCGCUUUCAGAAAUGCUAUGACUUAAACGAUGAUGGCGUGUCCUGCCAAACGCAGGUGCUACAGUUUAAUGACAAGCAGGUACUUUAAACAGCUGAAGCCUUUCCGAGAGGAUUAGGGCUCUUAUUUAUGAAAGCGCCAGAGGGUUUGCUAGCUUUCUUUGUGCUGUGUGCUGCUCCCCUGAUGCCAGUGCCCCCCUCAGACGUCGUAGACUCCGCAGCCGUCAGCAGUGCACAACAGAAAGGAAUGGCAUGCCCACUCAUCAUCCACAGAAGAACAGUUUCUGGAAAAGUGAGCAGUCUGGCUUCAUAAUGAUGCCCGAGUAGUCUGGUGGUAACAAAGGAAGAGAAGCGGAUUGAAAAGCUUCAUGUACGUGUGAUGAACACUAAGCUCUUUAAAAUGGAAAUCAAUACUGGAGCUGCUGUGCGAUUGUUCAAAAUCACAGUAUCUAACUGAGGUAAACCUAAGGACAAGCCAUGGUGCUUACCUGAAAGUGGCCACAAAGUUCACCGUGGGCCAGCCCAGGACGAAGGACUUCAGAGCGUUCGUGUUGCCUUCUCCCACUUCGUCCACACAGCUUGCUGUCCACAUGUCAGUCAACUUUAUUUUAUUUUUUAUCUUAAAAUUGUUGUUAUAUCUAGAGAGAUAGAAACCAAAAUGGGUGCUCUUGUUAUUUUGUUUCUUGAAUUUUAUAGCAGGUUCUGUAUUUGUUAUGAGAGGGCAAAGAAUCUCUUAUUGUCCCUAUCUCUUGUCCCUGGAACACCAGAUUAUAUAACAUGGAUGGUUAGUUAGGACUUUUGCAACACGAGGCAAACUUAGUUCUCAUGCUUGCAUUAAUGGCAACAAAUAUCUAUAAAGUAACUUUUUAUAUAUGUUGAGUACUACAGUUGGAUCAAAACCCAACUUAAAUUUGUCAUAAUAGUUAAUUUAUUAUCUGUAACUUGCCUACUUUCAUAAUCAUUUCAAUGGGUACACAUAAAGUGUAAAGUACUUCCAUCUUAGAUACUGAAAAUGAGCAUGGAAUCAGAGAAAUUUAUAAUACACUUUCAAA